Brassica oleracea var. oleracea is the source of this 1334-nucleotide long non-coding RNA. RefSeq lists it as uncharacterized. The transcript is spliced from 4 exons. NCBI's taxonomy places the organism in Eukaryota, Viridiplantae, Streptophyta, Magnoliopsida, Brassicales, Brassicaceae. The record is from RefSeq and is a predicted model, not a curated record.
UUAUGUGAGCUUCGCUGUGUGUUGUUUGGGCUCAAUUAAUGUCCUCAAGGACCCAUGUCGUUAUUGUGAAAAGCAAGACCCUUCAUUCGCACCGUUCUGGAGUUUAGGGUUCAUCACAAUCUUCGAUCUCCGCCACUAGAGAGGCUGAGAUGCAGAGGUCAGCGUGACAAUUCCGUUCAUUGGGGUUUCGAUCAGGUCCGUUCGCCUUCUUUACCUCUAUCGAAACGAGACAGUUUCCAGAUCCAUAGCAUUGAACAUGUUCUUAACUACUUUAGCCACGAUCUACAAUUUAAUGUGUGUUAAUCUUCUAUGUCUCUACGGAUAUAAAAAGCAUGACUUUGUUAGGUUCUUUUGUGAGAAAAUCAAUCAAAGAACCACUAAUUAGGUUCCUUUGUGAGGAAAGACUACAAUAGCUGCAGUGAUUUGUUGUCUCGGCUUAAGGUUCUUUUGACGAAAUUCAUAAAUUCUGUCUCCAUUGUUUGAGAAUACACCAAAUGCUGCUCAUGAGCUCACUCUUACAAGUAAUGUACUUGGAGUUGAAGACAAUGGCCCUGCCAAACAAAUGACACUCCCUUAUAAGGAAAACUCUCAGCAGCCUCCCUGAGACAAGCGAUGCCAUCCCCAACGCAGAUAUUGAUGCUAAUUUUAUUUGGGUAUUCGAGUCAGAAGAACGCAACUUCUUCAACACAGGGUCUUUCCAGCCCCUGAGCAUAUGGAGAAUGGUUGACCACGACCCUUUAGUUCCGCACCCAUGGUUUGACCAUCGUUUGAGCGUCUAUGGUCACAUGUUCUUCAGUCAUAGACCAAGUGACUUCUACCUGAGCUUCAGGUUUUGUUAAGAACCUUCUGGAAUUGGUGUUACUGUGUUAUUAAAGGGUUUAUUUGUCUGAAAGUAAUGAAGACAAUGAAGCUAUGAUAAUGAGAGUUCUAAGCUGCAAAACAGUUCUUAGCAAAGCUAGAGAAGACUUCGGGUAUUGAGGUCCAUUUUGAUAAGGCAAACAUGUCUAACAAUAUCAGAUACAGAGGACGAAAGCGAGGAGAAUGUGUGUGAUUCUGCAGCUGUCUGCGCUUUUGAUGGCAGCCAUUGAUGGUGGAAGUUCAGUAGGUGGCAUGAGAAAUUAUACAGUUAAUCCUCAAGUAAAUUAUUAUGAUACAAAUCAGAAAGAUGUCUUGACAUGGUGUGGCCUAUAUUAGUAACGAACCAGUCAUAGAAUUGAAAAAAUAAUUAUAGUAUUGGUUCUAUUGGAUGACUACAGAUCGACAUGAUUAUGUUAGAGCUGCAUGAACAGCAAAUAUAAGAUUACUUUGUUUUAUUAAAUGCUUUUUCAUAUUUA